UCCGAGUUGACCCCGGCAGUCUCCCAUGAGUCCCCACCACUACGUGCUGGCAACAUGGAACGAGGGUUGCGCUCGUUGCGGGACUUAACCCAACAUCUCACGACACGAGCUGACGACAACCAUGCACCACCUGUACACCGCCCUUGCGGACCCCGUGUCUCCACGAGUUUUCGGUGUAUGUCAAGCCCAGGUAAGGUUCUUCGCGUUGCUUCGAAUUAAACCACAUGCUCCACCGCUUGUGCGGGCCCCCGUCAAUUCUUUUGAGUUUCAGCCUUGCGGCCGUACUCCCCAGGCGGGGCACUUAAUGCGUUAGCUUCGACACCGAAGGGGUCGUUCCCACCGGCAUCUAGUGCCCAUCGUUUACGGCGUGGACUAC
This 376-nucleotide unclassified non-coding RNA is filed under the name uncultured bacterium. RNAcentral describes it as "contains 16S-23S intergenic spacer region". The record is from RNAcentral.